RNAcentral lists this ribosomal RNA (372 nucleotides) under uncultured organism. Its description in RNAcentral is "bacterial SSU rRNA". It matches the Rfam family "Bacterial small subunit ribosomal RNA", at positions 526 to 896 of the family's 1533-position model. The record is from RNAcentral.
CAGAGACUGCAAGCGUUAUUCGGAUUCACUGGGCGUAAAGGGUGCGCAGGCGGCCAAGUGUGUGAGGCGUGAAAGCCCGAUGCUUAACAUCGGAAUUGCACCUCAAACUACAUGGCUAGAGCAUUGGAGAGGGUAGCGGAAUUCACGGUGUAGCAGUGAAAUGCGUAGAUAUCGUGAGGAACACCAGAGGCGAAGGCGGCUACCUGGACAAUUGCUGACGCUCAGGCACGAAAGCGUGGGGAGCAAAAGGGAUUAGAUACCCCUGUAGUCCACGCCCUAAACGGUGCACACUAGGUCUUGAUGGAUUCGACCCCAUCAGGGCCCAAGCUAACGCGUUAAGUGUGCCGCCUGAGGACUACGGCCGCAAGGCUA